Triticum aestivum (bread wheat) is the source of this 115-nucleotide non-coding RNA. The record is from Rfam. NCBI's taxonomy places the organism in Eukaryota, Viridiplantae, Streptophyta, Magnoliopsida, Poales, Poaceae.
AUAAUACUUCCUCCGUCCGGAAUUGCAUGGCGCUCAACUGGAUGUGUCUAGACGUAUUUUAGUGCUAGAUACAUCCGCUUGAGCGUCAAGUAAUUCCGGAUGGAGGGAGUGUAAC